UACGGGAGGCAGCAGUGGGGAAUAUUGCACAAUGGGCGCAAGCCUGAUGCAGCCAUGCCGCGUGUAUGAAAAAGGCCUUCGGGUUGUAAAGUACUUUCAGUCGUGAGGAAGGUGUUAAGGUUAAUAACCUUAGCAAUUGACGUUAGCGACAGAAGAAGCACCGGCUAACUCCGUGCCAGCAGCCGCGGUAAUACGGAGGGUGCGAGCGUUAAUCGGAAUUACUGGGCGUAAAGGGCACGCAGGCGGUUAAUUAAGUUGGAUGUGAAAUCCCCGGGCUUAACCUGGGAAUGGCAUUCAAGACUGGUUAGCUAGAGUCUUGUAGAGGGGGUAGAAAUUCCAUGUGUAGCGGUGAAAUGCGUAGAGAUGUGGAGGAAUACCGGUGGCGAAGGCGGCCCCUGGACAAAGACUGACGCUCAUGUGCGAAAAGCGUGGGGAGCAAAACAGGGAUUAGAUACC
RNAcentral lists this ribosomal RNA (456 nucleotides) under uncultured bacterium. RNAcentral describes it as "bacterial SSU rRNA". It matches the Rfam family "Bacterial small subunit ribosomal RNA", at positions 340 to 786 of the family's 1533-position model. The record is from RNAcentral.